This is a small nucleolar RNA of Tachyglossus aculeatus (Australian echidna), 75 nucleotides long. The record is from RefSeq and is a predicted model, not a curated record. NCBI's taxonomy places the organism in Eukaryota, Metazoa, Chordata, Mammalia, Monotremata, Tachyglossidae.
CUUAAAAUGAUGUUUGAAUUUCUUCACCAGAAAUAACUGUGUUGAUCAAACACAUGAGAUUUUUUUCACCUGAGC